AGCGAACGCUGGCGGCAGGCCUAACACAUGCAAGUCGAACGAACCUUUCGGGGUUAGUGGCGGACGGGUGGGUAACACGUGGGAACGUGCCUUUAGGUUCGGAAUAACUCAGGGAAACUUGUGCUAAUACCGAAUGUGCCCUUCGGGGGGAAGAUUAAUCGCCUUUAGAGCGGCCCGCGUCUGAUUAGCUAGUUGGUUGAGGUAAUGGCUCACCAAGGCGACGAUCAGUAGCUGGUCUGAGAGGAUGAUCAGCCACAUUGGGACUGAGACACGGACCAAACUCCUACGGGAGGCAGCAGUGGGGAAUCUUGCGCAAUGGGCGAAAGCCUGACGCAGCCAUGCCGCGUGAAUGAUGAAGGUCUUAGGAUUGUAAAAUUCUUUCACCGGGGACGAUAAUGACGGUACCCGGAGAAGAAGCCCCGGCUAACUUCGUG
This 434-nucleotide ribosomal RNA is filed under the name uncultured bacterium. RNAcentral's name for it is "partial 16S ribosomal RNA". It matches the Rfam family "Bacterial small subunit ribosomal RNA", at positions 29 to 507 of the family's 1533-position model. The record is from RNAcentral.